UGGGGAAUAUUGCACAAUGGAGGGAACUCUGAUGCAGCGACGCCGCGUGAACGAAGAAGGCUUUCGAGUCGUAAAGUUCUGUUAGAAGGGAAGAUAAUGACGGUACCAUAAGAAAAAGCCCCGGCUAACUACGUGCCAGCAGCCGCGGUAAUACGUAGGGGGCUAGCGUUGUCCGGAAUCACUGGGCGUAAAGGGUUCGCAGGCGGAAAUGCAAGUCAGGUGUAAAAGGCAGUAGCUUAACUACUGUAAGCAUUUGAAACUGCAUAUCUUGAGAAGAGUAGAGGUAAGUGGAAUUUUUAGUGUAGCGGUGAAAUGCGUAGAUAUUAAAAAGAAUACCGGUGGCGAAGGCGACUUACUGGGCUCAUUCUGACGCUGAGGAACGAAAGCGUGGGUAGCAAACAGG
This 403-nucleotide ribosomal RNA is filed under the name bacterium. RNAcentral's name for it is "partial 16S ribosomal RNA". It matches the Rfam family "Bacterial small subunit ribosomal RNA", at positions 355 to 776 of the family's 1533-position model. The record is from RNAcentral.